RNAcentral lists this ribosomal RNA (345 nucleotides) under uncultured eukaryote. RNAcentral describes it as "SSU rRNA". It matches the Rfam family "Eukaryotic small subunit ribosomal RNA", at positions 594 to 945 of the family's 1831-position model. The record is from RNAcentral.
AUAGCGUAUAUUAAAGUUGUUGCAGUUAAAAAGCUCGUAGUUGAACCUUGGGCCUGGCUGGCCGGUCCGCCUCACCGCGUGCACUGGACCGGCCGGGCCUUUCCUUCUGGGGAAGCGCAUGGCCUUUACUGGCUGUGUCGGGGAACCAGGACUUUUACUUUGAAAAAAUUAGAGUGUUCAAAGCAGGCCUUUGCUCGAAUACAUUAGCAUGGAAUAAUGGAAUAGGACGGCCUUCCUAUUUUGUUGGUUUCUAGGAGAGCCGUAAUGAUUAAUAGGGACAGUCGGGGGUAUCAGUAUUCAAUUGUCAGAGGUGAAAUUCUUGGAUUUAUUGAAGACUAACUACUG